Molecule: ribosomal RNA, 253 nt
Filed under: uncultured bacterium
Lineage: Bacteria
Description: partial 16S ribosomal RNA
Rfam family: Bacterial small subunit ribosomal RNA
Source: RNAcentral
UACGUAGGGUGCAAGCGUUGUCCGGAAUUAUUGGGCGUAAAGAGUUCGUAGGCGGUCUGUCGCGUCGGAUGUGAAAAUCCAGGGCUUAACCCUGGGCCUGCAUUCGAUACGGGCAGACUAGAGUUCGGUAGGGGAGACUGGAAUUCCUGGUGUAGCGGUGAAAUGCGCAGAUAUCGGGAGGAACACCAAUGGCGAAGGCAGCUCGCUGGGACGUUACUGACGCUGAGACGCGAAAGCGUGGGGAGCAAACAGG